RNAcentral lists this small nucleolar RNA (131 nucleotides) under Catagonus wagneri (Chacoan peccary). RNAcentral describes it as "Small nucleolar RNA SNORA11 (ENSCWAG00000022051.1)". It matches the Rfam family "Small nucleolar RNA SNORA11". Rfam says of the family: U107 (SNORA11) is a member of the H/ACA class of snoRNAs that guide the sites of modification of uridines to pseudouridines. This snoRNA was identified by RT-PCR from blood cells and its expression confirmed by Northern blot analysis. Lineage: Eukaryota; Metazoa; Chordata; Mammalia; Artiodactyla; Tayassuidae. The record is from Rfam by way of RNAcentral.
GGGGUGUGCUCAGAGCAGGGGGCCUGAAGAAGUGGCUCCUCUGUUUACAACACACCCAACAGGAACCUGGGUUCAUUGUGACAAGGGACUCAAAAACUCUUGGCCUUUCUAUGAACAAAUACCCAACAUGU